UCCUAGCCCAGAUAGAAGUGAAAAUCCUUUUCUUGUUUUUCUUUAAAACAAGAAAAGGAUUUUCACUUCUAUCUGGAAAUAGC
RNAcentral lists this small RNA (83 nucleotides) under Flavobacterium frigoris. Its description in RNAcentral is "Flavo-1 RNA". It matches the Rfam family "Flavo-1 RNA". Lineage: Bacteria; Pseudomonadati; Bacteroidota; Flavobacteriia; Flavobacteriales; Flavobacteriaceae. The record is from RNAcentral.